CCCUUAGAUGUUCUGGGCUGCACGCGCGCUACACUGAUGCGCUCAAUGAGUUUAUGACCUUGCCCGGAAGGGUUGGGUAAUCUUCUUAAAACGCAUCGUGAUGGGGAUAGAUUAUUGCAAUUAUUAAUCUUCAACGAGGAAUUCCUAGUAAGCGCGAGUCAUCAGCUCGUGCUGAUUACGUCCCUGCCCUUUGUACACACCGCCCGUCGCUCCUACCGAUUGAGUGGUCCGGUGAGGCUUUGGGAUCUGAGCGGAAAGAGCGUUUCGCUGUUUCUGCUCGGAAAACUCAGUCGAACCUUAUCAUUUAGAGGAAGGAGAAGUCGUAACA
Molecule: ribosomal RNA, 328 nt
Filed under: uncultured eukaryote
Lineage: Eukaryota
Description: partial 18S ribosomal RNA
Rfam family: Eukaryotic small subunit ribosomal RNA
Source: RNAcentral